Molecule: long non-coding RNA, 215 nt
Filed under: Lathyrus oleraceus (garden pea)
Lineage: Eukaryota; Viridiplantae; Streptophyta; Magnoliopsida; Fabales; Fabaceae
Description: Pisum sativum (pea) long non-coding RNA (PSAT_LNC037327)
Source: RNAcentral
AAAAUACCCUAAACUUCCCCAAAUUAACCCAAAUUCUUGGCCGAUCAUGGAUCGGCCUACCCUGAACCCCAAUCGAUGCCUAAAACAACGGAAUCACACAAAAAAAAUUCAAACCCUAAAUCAACUUCUAAGUGUCAAAUGCACACAAUCACAUAACCAUCGGGUCAGAGAAACACUUAUUUGUCUUGCCAUGAUUGGAUUAAGUUGUAUUCUUC